UGAAUCAAUGAUAACUACUGGUGGGGUAUGAGUUGUGUCUGACAAAUACAAGUCUAGAACUCUGAGGUCUAA
Molecule: small nucleolar RNA, 72 nt
Organism: Capra hircus (goat)
Lineage: Eukaryota; Metazoa; Chordata; Mammalia; Artiodactyla; Bovidae
Source: Ensembl